CGAGCGAAGGGUGCGGCAGCGCCAAGGCCUUAAACGGUACAGCGAGGAAAGUCCGAGCAUCACAGGACAGGGUACCUGCUAACGGCAGGCGGAGGCGACUCUAGGGCUAGUGCAACAGAAAGAAACCGCAGCGAAAGCUGUAAGGAUGGAAAGGCGAGGUAAGAGCUCACCGGCGUCCGGGAGACCGGGCGGCCAUGUAAACCCUACCCGAUGCAACACCGACCGGGAUGUUAUGGUUGGUCCGGCCGUCCCAAAAGGUGGCACAGAGCAGCGGCGGCGACGCCCUGCCAAGAUAGAUUGCCGCAACAACAGAACUCGGCUUACCGCUUCGGUCGCGUU
This 339-nucleotide RNase P RNA is filed under the name Candidatus Egerieicola pullicola. Its description in RNAcentral is "RNase P RNA component class A". It matches the Rfam family "Bacterial RNase P class A". From Rfam's summary of the family: Ribonuclease P (RNase P) is a ubiquitous endoribonuclease, found in archaea, bacteria and eukarya as well as chloroplasts and mitochondria. Its best characterised activity is the generation of mature 5'-ends of tRNAs by cleaving the 5'-leader elements of precursor-tRNAs. Cellular RNase Ps are ribonucleoproteins. The record is from RNAcentral. Lineage: Bacteria; Bacillati; Bacillota; Clostridia; Eubacteriales; Oscillospiraceae.